This 372-nucleotide ribosomal RNA is filed under the name uncultured organism. RNAcentral's name for it is "bacterial SSU rRNA". It matches the Rfam family "Bacterial small subunit ribosomal RNA", at positions 526 to 896 of the family's 1533-position model. The record is from RNAcentral.
CGAAGGUGGCAAGCGUUACUCGGAAUUACUAGGCGUAAAGGGCAGGUAGGUGGUUUGGUAAGCCUAUUGUGAAAGCUCCCGGCUUAACUGGGAGAGGUCAAUGGAUACUGCCGGACUUGAGUAUAGGAGAGGUUACUGGAAUUCCCGGUGUAGCGGUGAAAUGCGCAGAGAUCGGGAGGAACACCAAUGGCGAAAGCAGGUAACUGGACUAUUACUGACACUCAGCUGCGAAAGCUAGGGGAGCAAACAGGAUUAGAUACCCUGGUAGUCCUAGCUGUAAACGAUGCACAUUAGACGUGAGGGGUAUCGACCCCCUUCGUGUCGACGCUAACGCAUUAGAUGUGCCGCCUGGGGAGUACGGCCGCAAGGUUG